RNAcentral lists this ribosomal RNA (422 nucleotides) under uncultured bacterium. Its description in RNAcentral is "bacterial SSU rRNA". It matches the Rfam family "Bacterial small subunit ribosomal RNA", at positions 362 to 776 of the family's 1533-position model. The record is from RNAcentral.
UAUUGCGCAAUGGACGAAAGUCUGACGCAGCAACGCCGCGUGGGUGAUGAAGCUUCUUGGAGUGUAAAACCCUGUCAGUGGGGAAGAAACGUGCGGAGAGUCACUGCUCCGUGCCUGACGGUACCCACAGAGGAAGUCCCGGCUAACUCCGUGCCAGCAGCCGCGGUAAUACGGGGGGGACAAGCGUUGUUCGGAUUCACUGGGCGUAAAGGGCGCGUAGGCGGGCUUUCAAGUCGGGUGUGAAACCUGCCGGCUUAACCGGCAGCCUGCAUCCGAUACUGUAGGUCUUGAGUACGGAAGAGGAGAGCGGAAUUCCAGGUGUAGCGGUGAAAUGCGUAGAUAUCUGGAAGAACACCAGUAGCGAAGGCGGCUCUCUGGUCCGAUACUGACGCUCAAGCGCGAAGGCUAGGGGAGCAAACAGG